Molecule: ribosomal RNA, 281 nt
Filed under: Segatella copri DSM 18205
Lineage: Bacteria; Pseudomonadati; Bacteroidota; Bacteroidia; Bacteroidales; Prevotellaceae
Description: Prevotella copri DSM 18205 partial 16S ribosomal RNA
Rfam family: Bacterial small subunit ribosomal RNA
Source: RNAcentral
UAUGGUUGUGUGCCAGCAGCCGCGGUAAUACGGACGGUCCGGGCGUUAUCCGGAUUUAUUGGGUUUAAAGGGAGCGUAGGCCGGAGAUUAAGCGUGUUGUGAAAUGUAGAUGCUCAACAUCUGCACUGCAGCGCGAACUGGUUUCCUUGAGUACGCACAAAGUGGGCGGAAUUCGUGGUGUAGCGGUGAAAUGCUUAGAUAUCACGAAGAACUCCGAUUGCGAAGGCAGCUCACUGGAGCGCAACUGACGCUGAAGCUCGAAAGUGCGGGUAUCGAACAGG